UCCGAAGUGGCAGAAGCCAGAGAGGGAGUCGGUGUGGACGCGAGGAGCCGGGCGCUUAGAACAGAGGCUUGCACAGGUGGAGAUGUGGAAGUCUGUAGUGGGCCAUGAUGUGUCUGUUUCCGUGGAGACCCAGGGUGAUGAUUGGGACACAGAUCCUGACUUUGUGAAUGACAUCUCUGAAAAGGAGCAACGAUGGGGAGCCAAGACCAUCGAGGGGUCUGGACGCACAGAACACAUCAACAUCCACCAGCUGAGGAACAAAGUAUCAGAGGAGCAUGAUGUUCUCAAGAAGAAAGAGAUGGAGUCAGGGCCCAAAGCAUCCCAUGGCUAUGGAGGUCGGUUUGGAGUAGAAAGAGACCGAAUGGACAAGAGUGCAGUGGGCCAUGAGUAUGUUGCCGAGGUGGAGAAGCACUCUUCUCAGACGGAUGCUGCCAAAGGCUUUGGGGGCAAGUACGGAGUUGAGAGGGACAGGGCAGACAAGGUAAGUGACCACUCUCUCUCCCAACCACCCACCUCCAGUCAUGUGAAAAUUGCCCACAAUCACCCCUGGAUGGAGGCACAUGCUUCUUUGUUGAAAGACAGGACAGUGGAUGCUGUGAGGACCUGACACCGUCACAGGGAUACCUCCCUCAGCAAGUUCCUUGGUGCCAAUGUUGGAAGCCACAUGCUGAACUGAAAGACAGUGAUUCAAAUAGGAGAAGACUCUCAAACUGUGUGUUUGAAUGAAUAAUUCCUCAAGCCACUGGUUUUUAUUAUACUCAUAUGCAUGAAGAUAGAACAGAGAAUCAUCUAAGCUCUUCUUUUGGCUUAACAUCAAAACCUUAUAAAUACUCAUGCCGUUUAGGAAAACAGAUUCAUCAGUUUAAAUAUUAUUGCCAUGGCAGCAGAUAAUCAAGUUAAACAACUAAUUAGGGUUACUAUUUACAGAAUUUAGCAUCAAUCUAUGAAGUCCAGAUAUCUUUAAAGACUCCUUUGUACAAAACAAAACAAAAUGUUGUUUUAAAGAGAAAAAAAAGUACCGUAUGAUUACAGCAUCAUAACGUUGACAGGAGAGUAAGAUUGAUAACUC
RNAcentral lists this small RNA (1069 nucleotides) under Pan troglodytes (chimpanzee). RNAcentral describes it as "retained intron". The record is from RNAcentral. Lineage: Eukaryota; Metazoa; Chordata; Mammalia; Primates; Hominidae.